This 307-nucleotide long non-coding RNA is filed under the name Physcomitrium patens. Its description in RNAcentral is "long non-coding RNA (PPAT_LNC004493)". The record is from RNAcentral. Lineage: Eukaryota; Viridiplantae; Streptophyta; Bryopsida; Funariales; Funariaceae.
UCAUCUCGGGGUCGCCUUUGUGACCUAGUUGGUUGAGAUGAUCUGACUGGCAUAGUAUCUAUCUCUUGGCUAUCCAUAUUAGAAGACCAAACUAUGGCUACUGAAAAAAUUCUACUUUAUCUUGGAGAUAAUAACUACAUCAACUACGAAUUUUGGUGGUACUCUCUCCUUUUCUUAUAUUCUUGGGUGAACAAGCUUCAGAAGGAAGCUAUCAUCAAACCGGCUUAGGUUUAUGAGGAGGUUGUUGAUGAAACUCUUAUAUCUUUUGUGGCCCAUUGGCAAGAUUUUUAGCUGGCUCCCACGUUUG